AGGGUUUGAUUAUGGCUCAGGAUGAACGCUGGCGGCGUGCUUAACACAUGCAAGUCGAACGAAGAUAUUUAAAAUGAGAGCUUCGGCAGGAUUUUUAUCUAUCUUAGUGGCGGACGGGUGAGUAACGUGUGGGCAACCUGCCCUGUACUGGGGAAUAAUCAUUGGAAACGAUGACUAAUACCGCAUGUGGUCCUCGGAAGGCAUCUUCUGAGGAAGAAAGGAUUUAUUCGGUACAGGAUGGGCCCGCAUCUGAUUAGCUAGUUGGUGAGAUAACAGCCCACCAAGGCGACGAUCAGUAGCCGACCUGAGAGGGUGAUCGGCCACAUUGGGACUGAGACACGGCCCAA
Molecule: ribosomal RNA, 347 nt
Filed under: uncultured bacterium
Lineage: Bacteria
Description: bacterial SSU rRNA
Rfam family: Bacterial small subunit ribosomal RNA
Source: RNAcentral